UACACAUUUAUGUCCCUUGCUCCUGUGAAGU
This 31-nucleotide non-coding RNA is filed under the name Homo sapiens (human). The record is from RNAcentral. Lineage: Eukaryota; Metazoa; Chordata; Mammalia; Primates; Hominidae.